RNAcentral lists this ribosomal RNA (253 nucleotides) under uncultured bacterium. RNAcentral describes it as "partial 16S ribosomal RNA". It matches the Rfam family "Bacterial small subunit ribosomal RNA", at positions 524 to 776 of the family's 1533-position model. The record is from RNAcentral.
UACGUAGGGUGCAAGCGUUGUCCGGAAUUAUUGGGCGUAAAGAGCUCGUAGGCGGUCUGUUGCGUCGGCUGUGAAAACCCGGGGCUCAACCCCGGGCCUGCAGCCGAUACGGGCAGACUAGAGUUCGGCAGGGGAGACUGGAAUUCCUGGUGUAGCGGUGAAAUGCGCAGAUAUCAGGAGGAACACCGGUGGCGAAGGCGGGUCUCUGGGCCGAUACUGACGCUGAGGAGCGAAAGCGUGGGGAACGAACAGG